Molecule: ribosomal RNA, 492 nt
Filed under: uncultured bacterium
Lineage: Bacteria
Description: partial 16S ribosomal RNA
Rfam family: Bacterial small subunit ribosomal RNA
Source: RNAcentral
AGUGAACGCUGGCGGUAGGCCUAACACAUGCAAGUCGAACGGCAGCACAGUAGGAGCUUGCUCUUACGGGUGGCGAGUGGCGGACGGGUGAGGAAUACAUCGGAAUCUACUUUUUCGUGGGGGAUAACGUAGGGAAACUUACGCUAAUACCGCAUACGACCUACGGGUGAAAGCAGGGGAUCUUCGGACCUUGCGCGAUUGAAUGGGCCGAUGUCGGAUUAGCUAGUUGGCGGGGUAAAGGCCCACCAAGGCGACGAUCCGUAGCUGGUCUGAGAGGAUGAUCAGCCACACUGGAACUGAGACACGGUCCAGACUCCUACGGGAGGCAGCAGUGGGGAAUAUUGGACAAUGGGCGCAAGCCUGAUCCAGCCAUACCGCGUGGGUGAAGAAGGCCUUCGGGUUGUAAAGCCCUUUUGUUGGGAAAGAAAAGCAGCAGGUUAAUACCCCGCUGUUCUGACGGUACCCAAAGAAUAAGCACCGGCUAACUUCGUG